AACCGGGGCUGGAGGCUCUCAUACAGGGCUACAGGAAAUGAGUGCCCAGAGCUACAGCCUCCUGUCCAUGGGAAAAUCGAGCCCUCCCAAGCCAAGUAUUCCUUCAAAGACCAAGUGCUCGUCAGCUGUGACACAGGCUACAAAGUGCUGAAGGUGCAGAGCCUUGCCUGGGAAAGGGGAGUGACCAGGCCACAGAAACUCUCCAAACCUGCCCCCUCCCCAGGGCAGAUGGGCUGCCAGAACUUGUCAUAGUUCCAGCACAGAAUUUCCUAGCUGCCCAUCAACUUUUCAAAUGCUCCAGAAAUUCCAAAGCAUGCGUCCCAGGCUGUCUCACACUCUGAAAGUGGCACAAAAGUUUGUUUGUUUGUUAUUUUAAUCAGAGCAUGAGCUGGUUUGAAUUUUUAAAUUAU
Molecule: small RNA, 410 nt
Filed under: Pongo abelii (Sumatran orangutan)
Lineage: Eukaryota; Metazoa; Chordata; Mammalia; Primates; Hominidae
Description: retained intron
Source: RNAcentral